Stegostoma tigrinum is the source of this 598-nucleotide long non-coding RNA. RefSeq lists it as uncharacterized. The record is from RefSeq and is a predicted model, not a curated record. Lineage: Eukaryota; Metazoa; Chordata; Chondrichthyes; Orectolobiformes; Stegostomatidae. The transcript has 2 exons.
UCGUCUUUGUCCGGAGACGCAAUAUCUCUGCGACUGAAGGUUAGCUGCUUGCCGAAGGAAACGGAAAAACUGCUGCGGACCUGAGGCUGCGAUAGGCAGAGGUAAUUGCCACCAUCUUUAUUAGGGGCAAUGAUCUUCGGGACUCAUGCCGGAUCGCCAUAUUUACAGGUGGCAACCUGCAGUGGAACGCAAGCGCAGCCUUUCUUGUUUGGGAGGGGAGAUUAAGACAAGAGAAAUGUUUGUUUUUGUUUUUGUUUUUCUGGACUUCUUUCCCAGACUGUGAGACACGGCGUGUAUUUCCUGGGAAGGACCUUUGACGCUGGCGGAGUACUGGCUUCAGGCAGUGUAAAUUGCUGCAAGUUAUACGUUAGAUAUUUAUUGGAGGAGAAAUGCCGAAAACGCGUUCAGAACUGCAUGUUCAAAAACAAAGUUGCUGGAAAAGCUCAGUAGGUUCGGUAGCAUCUGUGAAAGGAAAAAAAAAUAACGUUUCGGAUCCGCUAAUCCUUGCUUAGAACUUCAUGUUACCUGUUGCACUCUCACUGUAGGAAGUCCUGCUUUAAAUAUUAUGAUCUAUUAAAGCAUAUCCGUUUGCCCAGUA